Molecule: ribosomal RNA, 393 nt
Filed under: Triticum aestivum (bread wheat)
Lineage: Eukaryota; Viridiplantae; Streptophyta; Magnoliopsida; Poales; Poaceae
Description: partial small subunit ribosomal RNA
Source: RNAcentral
AUGUUGAAUCGUGGAGCAGUAAGCUGGUGCAGUUGCAAGCAGAGCGUCGUGGCGGGAUCUACAUGUGAAGCGGAGUACAUGGCAGCCUUGGAGGCAGCGCAUGAAGCAAUAUGGAUGAAGGAGUUCAUCACCGACCUAGGAGUCAUACCCAAUGCGUUGGGGCCGAUCACUCUCUUCUGUGACAACACUGGAGCUAUUGCCCUUGCCAAGGAGCCCAGGUUUCACAAGAAGACCAGGCACAUCAAGCGUCGUUUCAACUCCAUCCGUGAAAAUGUUCAAGAUGGAGACAUAGAUAUUUGCAAAGUACAUACGGAUCUGAAUGCCGCAGAUCCGUUGACUAAACCUCUUCCACAAGCAAAACAUGAUCAACACCAGAACUCUAUGGGUGUUUAA